AGCAGGGCAGACAUUUGGUUUAUCUGUGUC
Molecule: non-coding RNA, 30 nt
Filed under: Homo sapiens (human)
Lineage: Eukaryota; Metazoa; Chordata; Mammalia; Primates; Hominidae
Source: RNAcentral